This 29-nucleotide non-coding RNA is filed under the name Rattus norvegicus (Norway rat). Lineage: Eukaryota; Metazoa; Chordata; Mammalia; Rodentia; Muridae. The record is from RNAcentral.
UGAGUUAGGCUCUCAUUGUCCGUCCCUAU